This 497-nucleotide ribosomal RNA is filed under the name uncultured bacterium. RNAcentral's name for it is "partial 16S ribosomal RNA". It matches the Rfam family "Bacterial small subunit ribosomal RNA", at positions 28 to 507 of the family's 1533-position model. The record is from RNAcentral.
GAUGAACGCUGGCGGCGUGCCUAAUACAUGCAAGUCGAGCGAACGGACGAGAAGCUUGUGUCGCUGAUGUUAGCGGCGGACGGGAGAGUAACACGUGUAUAACCUACCUAUAAGACUGGGAUAACUUCGGGAAACCGGAGCUAAUACCGGAUAAUAUUUUGAACCGUAGGGUUCAAAAGUGAAAGACGGUCUUUCUGUCAGUAAUAGAUGGAUCCGCGCUGCAUUGGCUAGUUGGUAAGGUAACGGCUUACCAAGGCAACUAUGCAUAGCCGACCUGUGAGGGUGGUCGGCCACCCUAGAACUGGACCGCCGACCAGACUCCUACGAGAGGCAGCAGAAGGGAAUCGUCCGCAAUGGGCGAAAACCUGACGGAGCAGCGCCGCGUGUGAGAUGGAGAUCUUCGGAUCGUGAAACUCUGUUAUGAGGGAAGAACAUAUGUGUAAGUAACUGAGCACUUCUUGACGGUACCUGAUCAAAAAGCCCCGGCUAACUACGUG